GCAAAAAUUUUGGUUUUGUUUUGGUUCACACAUUUGUCCAUAGCUUCACACUAGCUUCCUCCUCCCCAGAUCGAUGUCUGACUUACAGGUGUGGAGUUUGGGGAAGGCAAAACCUGACACUGGUUUACUAGACAUUAUAUAAGAUAUAAUGCUAUUUACAAACAUGAGAAAUUGAAUCAUUGUUUAAACUAUUCAACUGCAACUGUUUGAAUAGCACAUGGUUCAGCCAUGAGCAGUUGGUGUAUUUGAACAAACCUCAUUUUCACUUUGGUUGCAGCUUGUUGAGGCCAAGAGGCCUUUCACCAGGCUUCUUGGCCUCAACCUUUCUGCACAGUGGGGAGGGGCUUCACUGAGGAUUUCACCACUUCCUGAAAGGGGCCCUGUCUGCCCCGGGGGCCUGCUGCCCGCCGAAGAGCCAGGCACGAUGGCAUUCCCAACCCCCCUGCCCCUCCCCCCUCCCAGGCCUCUGUGCCUGAAGCAGUGUCAGGGCUGACCGCCCGGAGCCCCACACCCCACACAGCCGCACAUUAAAGUGGGAGGACACAGCCCAUUGAGGAGGCCUGGUGCUAUUCUGCUGCAGCCUCCUGUUCCAGGAAACUGCACAGCAGUAUGUGUCUGUAGAUUGCAUAUGGGAGUAGCUGCAAUCUUCUGGUUACAAGUCCAACUCAUUUGUCUCCGUGCAACAGUGCCAGAGUCAAUAUCCUCUUUCACCAGGUGUGGUGCAACCUCAGUAAACUGGGUCAUUUCUGUUUGAAAAGGAGCAGAGCAGUGAUAAUCAACCAGCCGAUAAGCGACCGCACAGACUCCCAGAGUGCACUUCUCCUCUGCUGAAGGACAGGGGAACCAGAACAGAUGGACAGGCCCAUUCUCUGACGGUGAAGUAGCGAGGUGCUGAGAGGAGGGGGGCGGGGGUAUUUAGGUUGGGGGGGGGCGGGUCAGUCCUGUGACAGUGCACCUGUCCUGUCAGAGAACCAUAGCAGUGUUUAACCAGAGCUGGCAGCCCUUCAGCUUGACCCUGUCUCCACUGGUGACCACGGCUCUCUCAUCCCAUUAAGGUUGAGCGUGCUGGACUGGGCCGGGGAGGGGGGGGCGGGCUGGGGUCCCCUGCUGAGCCUGCUCGGGCCUCUCAGGGGCCCUUGACACUCACCACAGCCCUGAACAAACGUCCCCCUAAUCCCCUCUGACAGGGACCAGUGGCUGGUCACUACCCCCUCAGGACA
This is a long non-coding RNA of Anguilla rostrata (American eel), 1220 nucleotides long. RefSeq lists it as uncharacterized. Lineage: Eukaryota; Metazoa; Chordata; Actinopteri; Anguilliformes; Anguillidae. The record is from RefSeq and is a predicted model, not a curated record. The transcript is spliced from 4 exons.